Molecule: ribosomal RNA, 1539 nt
Filed under: Triticum aestivum (bread wheat)
Lineage: Eukaryota; Viridiplantae; Streptophyta; Magnoliopsida; Poales; Poaceae
Description: partial small subunit ribosomal RNA
Source: RNAcentral
AUGGCCCAGGAGAGCUCGCAGGCCUCCGUCGCGAGCUCACCGCCGCACCCUCCAUCUUCGGCUUUCUGGUGGCGCGACAUGCAUCCCUAUUCCACUACCCCUGCUUGGCCGCCGCCGGCCGCCACAGCGGCCACGCCGCUCUGGACCCCGCUCGCUCAACACAGGACAUCCUCCUCCGGCGCCGACGACGACCUGUCCGCCUCCAACGCCACCAUGCAGACCUCCUUCACCAAGACCUCUACCAACCACUCCGGCAUCAGCAUGGACGACUCCUCAGCCGCCACUGCGGCCGUGCAGAGCCACCUCUGGAACCAAGUCGUCAUGGGCACCGGCGGCGAGGUCGCGAGGAGCAUGCAGGUGGUGCAUGACGCCCACAACGACGACAGCGAGAACUUCCUUGAGCUGCUAAACUCAAGGACGCUCGCCACGGAGCUCUUUGCCGAGCCGCCGGCUUGCGACUAUCUCAAGAAGAUGGAGUACGGUGGCGGCAGCGCAUGGCCGGACGUCCACCAGUUCAGCGCUGCCAAUAUGGACAAGCACCUCCCUUCCGCCUCCGGCCCUGGCUACUGGUCCAUCGCGCCGCCCAACCCGUGCCACGGAGACAGCGGCCACCACCAACGCGUUGGCGGCUCCGGGCCAUGCGAUAACGCCGCCGCCAUGGGCCACGUUGCCAAGGCCCUCUUCCUGGACGCGGACGGCAACGUCAAACACGAGAUGGGUGGGGGCGGCCACGGCGCGAUACUGCAGGAAGCGGCCAGCACCAGCAGCACCAGCAGCCAAGACUUCACGAGGCCCAUCGGGCUAGGGUACAGCUCCAUGCAAGGGCUCAUCAGCAACAGAAUGUAUGGAGGCGGCGCCGGCGCUUAUGACGUUGCCAUGGACGUUCGGUGGGGCAGAAAUGACGGUCGCGACCCUAGGAGCCUGUCGGGCUUGAUAUCGUUCGGCCGGGGGAUGGGAAAGCCUGCGCCUUCCGGCUCCCCGGCGAAGACGUCGUCGGCGGAGUACAAGAAGCAAGGGCGGGAGAUGUCGUCGCCGGUACCUGAGAAGACAAGCACCAGCGGCGGCUGUGGCAAGGGGAGUAGUGCACUAUCCACCAAGGGGAAGAAGAGAUCGGAAGAGGAGAGGGGAUCGGAAGGCAACGUGAAGAAGUCCAAGCACGAGUCCUGCUCGCCCACGUCGUCGUCUCCCAAAGGCCAGGUGACUAAAGUAAAGUUAGGACACAAGAUAACUGCACUUCAACAGAUGGUUUCACCAUUUGGGAAGACCGAUACCGCAUCAGUUCUAUAUGAGGCGAUAAAUUACAUUAAGUGGUUGCAUGAGCAAGUGCAGCUGCUGAGUGACCCUUACAUGAAGUCGUGUAGUAGCAAGGAUUACAAGCCAUGGGUACGGUCUGAUGGGAUGGAGAAGGAAGAUGCAGAGACUGACCUAAAGAGUAGGGGGUUGUGCUUGGUUCCACUCUCCCGCACGCCCCAGGUGUACAUGGAUAGCAACGGCCCGGAUUAUUGGACCCCGCCCAACAGGAGUUGUUUAUUCCAAUGA